GCUAAGAAGCAGGCACAGCUCUUUGGCGUUGGGGACUCUUGUCUGAAGUACCUGGUGGGAGGCCUCUUCACGCAGUAUCCUGUGGUCAAGUGAAACUACAGGAGGCACGGAAAAAAAAAAAAAAAGGAAGCUGGUGCUGGGAUCCCGAGUCAGGUAGUAACAGCAUCGACAACGUCACUGAUAACUGUAUCUGCUGCUGCUGCUACUAUUGCUACUCCUACUACUAGUUGAGUAUUGCCAUGGAUGCCAGGAGGAGAUGUCUGGAUGGCAUCUCCCACUCAAUGGACAUGAGUUUGAGCAAACUCCGAGAG
This is a long non-coding RNA of Bubalus bubalis (water buffalo), 311 nucleotides long. RefSeq lists it as uncharacterized. The record is from RefSeq and is a predicted model, not a curated record. NCBI's taxonomy places the organism in Eukaryota, Metazoa, Chordata, Mammalia, Artiodactyla, Bovidae. The transcript has 3 exons.